This 405-nucleotide ribosomal RNA is filed under the name uncultured bacterium. RNAcentral's name for it is "partial 16S ribosomal RNA". It matches the Rfam family "Bacterial small subunit ribosomal RNA", at positions 29 to 526 of the family's 1533-position model. The record is from RNAcentral.
AAUGAACGCUGGCGGCGUGCCUAAUACAUGCAAGUCGAGCGAAGCGGGGACGGGUGAGUAACACGUGGAUAACCUCCUAUAAGACUGGGAUAACUUCGGAAAACCGGAGCUAAACCGGAUACUAAUAAAUGGAUCCUUGCUGCAUUAGCUAGUUGGUAAGGUAACGGCUUACCAAGGCAACGAUGCAUAGCCGACCUGAGAGGGUGAUCGGCCACACGGGAACUGAGACACGGCCCAGACUCCUACGGGAGGCAGCAGUAGGGAAUCUUCCGCAAUGGGCGAAAGCCUGACGGAGCAAUGCCGCGUGAGUGAUGAAGGCCUUCGGAUCGUAAAACUCUGUCAGUAGGGAAGCGGUACCUAAACAGAAAGCCACGGCUAACUACGUGCCAGCCGCCGCGGUAAUUC